UUCUCGGCUUCUGAGUAUCACAGAAACACCACACUUUGAUUGAAUAACAGACAAAUGUUCAUAACAAGUGGCUAUGGAUGAAAUUGAGCAAAAUAUUUGUUAAAAACAUACAUUUUGUUUGAAACAUCAAAUUUGACUAUAAUUGUGUGAGAUUUUUAGAAUAUAUGAUAUUUUGAGGAAUUUAAACAAUUGACCAUGUAUUUAGGGUCUAAAAUUACCCUGUUGGUGCUUUUAGGGUUAAAAAAACAGACAUUCUGGGAAUUUUCAUCCCUGGACUAUCUGUCAGACAUAAUGUGUCCUAGUAUUUCCAAAAUGUUAGCCAUCACCACUCACCAGUCAGUUUUUCUUCGUCCCUUCCCUGCUGGUGAACAUGGCGUCGUCUUUCAUCACGACAACAUGACAGUGUGUCUCUGUGGCUCACAGGCUCUGCCCCCUAGGAGCAGAGGGGGUGGUGAAAGUAUAAAACCUCUUGGGCUCCCUCCAGCCAGACUGUAGACCUACUAGAAACUAUAAAGACACCUGAGUGUCGCCCCACUGGCUAAACUCUCCCGUCACAAUGCUGUCACGAAAGUGGACUGUUCAUUUGAUCUUUGCUUUGGCUGGUCUUGCUCUCUCAGACCACGUUACUGAUGGAGAUACCAGCGUGGAAACCACAGGCACUCCUGAUGCCCCUGACGCCCCAGGCAAGUUCUGCAUGCUGUGCUGUACUGAAGACUGUAUCGAGGAAAGCAGCCAUGUAGGGAGCCAAGGUUGUUGGAUGCCCUGUAUGGAGGCAUGUUGGAAGGAAUGUAUGGAGCCCUAUAUGGAUCUCUGUAUGGAGCCCUGUACACAGGAUUCGUCGAAGGUGUGCAACAGUAAGGGGGACAUUAAUGAGGACAGUAAGGGGGAUGGUAAGGGGGACGGUAAGGGGGACGGUAAGGGAGACGGUAAGGGAGGCAGUAAGGGAGACGGUAAGAAGGACAGUAACGAGGACACUAAGAGGGACGGUAAGGGGGACGGUAAGGGAGGCGGUAAGGGGGACGGUAAGGGGGACGGUAAGGGAGGCAGUAAGGAGGACAGUAAGGGAGACGGUAAGAAGGACAGUAAGGGGGACGGUAAGGGAGGCGGUAAGGAAGGCAGUAAGGAGGACGGUAAGGGAGGCAGUAAGGAGGACAGUAAGGGAGGCGGUAAGGAAGGCAGUAAGGAGGACGGUAAGGGAGGCAGUAAGGAGGACAUUAAUGAGGACAGUAAGGGAGACGGUAAGAAGGACAGUAAGGAGGACGGUAAGGGAGGCGGUAAGGAAGGCAGUAAGGAGGACGGUAAGGGAGGCAGUAAGGAGGACAGUAAGGGAGGCGGUAAGGAAGGCAGUAAGGAGGACGGUAAGGGAGGCAGUAAGGAGGACAUUAAUGAGGACAGUAAGGGGGACGGUAAGGGGGACGGUAAGGGAGACGGUAAGGGAGGCAGUAAGGGAGACGGUAAGAAGGACAGUAACGAGGACGGUAAGAGGGACGGUAAGGGGGACGGUAAGGGAGACGGUAAGGGAGGCGGUAAGGAAGGCAGUAAGGAGGACGGUAAGGGAGGCAGUAAGGAGGACAUUAAUGAGGACAGUAAGGGGGAUGGUAAGGGGGACGGUAAGGGAGGCAGUAAGGAGGACAGUAAGGGAGGCGGUAAGGAAGGCAGUAAGGAGGACGGUAAGGGAGGCAGUAAGGAGGACAUUAAUGAGGACAGUAAGGGGGAUGGUAAGGAAGUCGAUAAGGGAGACAAUAAGGGGGACAGUAAGGGGGUUAGUAAGGGAGACAGUAAGGGGGACAGUAAUGGGGUUAGUAAGGGAGACAGUAAGGGGGACAGUAAGGGGGUUAGUAAGGGAGACAGUAAGGGGGACAGUAAGGAGGACAGUAAGAGGGACGGUAAGGAAGUCGAUAAGGGAGACAAUAAGGGGGACAGUAAGGGGGUUACUAAGGGAGACAGUAAGGGGGAUAGUAAGGGAGCCGGUAAGGAAGUCGAUAAGGGAGACAGUAAGGGGGAAAGAAAAAGACAGUAAGUGUGAGUGUAGUCUAACGUUCCUUAACCCUCUCUUGGUCCUCAAAAUGGGGAAGGUGUCUACAGAGAUACAAUUGAAUUAUUAUGCUGUUUUGAUGUACAUAACAUUUUUGCCCACUUUUUGACUGUUUUCUUGUUGUUUUUAAUUUCCUGAUGUUUUGAGAUCCUCUCUAGUGUUUACAGAACAUAAGGGUCUGAUUGGUGAAAUCAAUGCUAGCAGUAAUAUACAGAAUGACAAUGUAUGAGAAGAAAUGUGUCCAAUUCCAAUGAUAAUGAGUACAUGAUGCGUGAGAUGUUCAUUAAAGAAUCAUUUCUGUGAUGUGGAUUUUUGCCACUCUGCACAACCUGACUCCAGGGCUAUGCCUCUCCCCCUUCAGAAGAAGGCCUCUGUCAGGUUUAUUAUGGGUUUUAUGGUAUAAAAUCAUGUUUUAUAAUGAACUUCACUGCCUUAGUUUGAGUAUUUUGAUUUCUCGAUCUCUUUGUUUUAAGGUACUUAUUAUGUUGCAUUUAUUCAAUAUAAUCACACAUGAGAAUCAAAGUUGUAACACUUAAGAUAAGAACGAUUGACAGGUAACAUGUUUUUUGUUUAUGGUUGUUUAUUGAUUGUUUAUGCUGUUCAGGUUUUCCCCUUCUGCUAUACAAAGAAUGUUAUGCCUGUUCAG
RNAcentral lists this long non-coding RNA (2681 nucleotides) under Salmo salar (Atlantic salmon). RNAcentral describes it as "lncRNA (ENSSSAG00000098222.1)". The record is from RNAcentral. Lineage: Eukaryota; Metazoa; Chordata; Actinopteri; Salmoniformes; Salmonidae.